Spinacia oleracea (spinach) is the source of this 696-nucleotide long non-coding RNA. RefSeq lists it as uncharacterized. The transcript has 3 exons. The record is from RefSeq and is a predicted model, not a curated record. Lineage: Eukaryota; Viridiplantae; Streptophyta; Magnoliopsida; Caryophyllales; Amaranthaceae.
AAUUCACCCUAUUGUGUUUGCCUCUUUCUUCUUCCUUAGAUUCAAGAGCUAGGUUUCAGGAAAGACAACCAUUGGCGAACUCAUGGACGAACUCACCACCACCGGCGAAUUGCACUACCACCGGAGAACUACCGUACCAUCGGCGACCUCACCAUCGUUGCUAGCGAACUACAAAUUUAGGUUACUUCAAUAGAAAAGGCUGAAUAUGAGAAAAUCUUAAAAGGCGCUGACAACAGAAGAUAGUACCAAUCUGUCUCGUUCGGCAAAAGGCUACAAUCAUAAGUUUGCUGGUAUUGCUAGUUUCUUGAAUCCAAUCAUCCAUUUUACCUAUCAAGGUGUGAUUUCUUUAACUAGCUUAGGUGAGCAAAAUCUUCUGACCUUCGUUCUCCUCUUUCAUUCUAAUUUACUAUAAUUUUAUUUCAAGAGCGUAGAAUGGCUGACCGGUUUAGAUUGCAUGUUAAGGGAGGUGACAGUGGAAGUGGGAAUGGAAGUUUGUGACGUAGUUGAACUGAUCGGUAUGGCAAGCCUGAUGGUGGGUUUGACUCUAACUUGAUUUCAGAAUGAUUAGUGAUUUCACUUUUAAUGGUGAUCACCUUCUAAUAGGAAUCAUAGUUUUACCGAUAACACAAUCUAUAUUCCCCUUAUUUUACAGGUGAAAAGGCGGUGAUGUGAUUAACAUCGUAUUCUAUGUAUCUG